GGCUCUUUGGUAAUGUAGAUAAAGAGUCGGACCUGCCCAGUGAAAAUUUUUAACGGCCGCGGUACUCUGACCGUGCAAAGGUAGCAUAAUCAUUUGCCUUAUAAUUGAAGGCUUGUAUGAAUGGUUUGACAAGAAUAUAGCUGUCUCUAUACGAUUUUGUAGAAUUUUAUUUUGAAGUGAAGAAGCUUGAAUAAAAUUGAUAGACAAGAAGACCCUAUCGAGCUUGAAAAAAGAUUAUAGAUGUUUUAAAAUAUAUCUAAAAAAUUAUCUGUGAUAAAUUUUGGUUGGGGCGACUUAGGAACAAAUUAAGCUUCCUAAAUUUACUUAAUAUAGACAAAAUGAUCCAAAAAAUUUUGAUUAAUGAAAUUAGUUACCGUAGGGAUAACAGCAUUAUCUUCUUUAAGAGUUCUUAUCGAAAAGAGGGUUUGUGACCUCGAUGUUGGACCAGAAUAUCCUAAAGAUGCAGCAGUCUUUAAGGGUUGGUCUGUUCGACCAUUAAAAUUCUACGUGAUCUGAGUUCAGACCGGCGUGAGCCAGGUCAGUUUCUAUCUUUAAUUUAAAUUAUAAAUUUAGUACGAAAGGACCAAUUUAUUAUAAUUUGUUGUGCUGGAAGAUACAAUUUAAUGAAGGUUAUUAUCAAAUUAGCAAAAUGAAUGCAUUGACUAGGAUCAAUAGA
Molecule: ribosomal RNA, 676 nt
Filed under: Columbella sp. VR-2017
Lineage: Eukaryota; Metazoa; Mollusca; Gastropoda; Neogastropoda; Columbellidae
Description: partial 16S ribosomal RNA
Rfam family: Bacterial large subunit ribosomal RNA (bases 1-577)
Source: RNAcentral